Molecule: small RNA, 707 nt
Filed under: Pongo abelii (Sumatran orangutan)
Lineage: Eukaryota; Metazoa; Chordata; Mammalia; Primates; Hominidae
Description: processed transcript
Source: RNAcentral
UUGUAAGGAAAUCUGGGCUGGGAGCUCAGGAGCCUAGGCUUUCUCAGAAUUCAGUGCUUAAGGUGAUGAGUCCUUCGUUCUUAUAGAAAGAGCAUUUUAUCAAGGGCCUGCCAGAAUACCACGUGGUGGGUCCAGUCCGAGUAGAUGCCAGUGGGCAUUUUUUGUCAUAUGGCUUGCACUAUCCCAUCACGAGCAGCAGGAGGAAGAGAGAUUUGGAUGGCUCAGAGGACUGGGUGUACUACAGAAUUUCUCACGAGGAGAAGGACCUGUUUUUUAACUUGACAGUCAAUCAAGGAUUUCUUUCCAAUAGCUACAUCAUGGAGAAGAGAUAUGGGAACCUCUCCCGUGUUAAGAUGAUGGCUUCCUCCGCCUCCCUCUGCCAUCUCAGUGGCACAGUUCUACAGCAGGGCACCAGAGUUGGGACGGCAGCCCUCAGUGCCUGCCAUGGACUGGUGAGUGCGGGCUCUGGCAUCUCCUUCCUCUGCCCUGGCCCCUAGAGUCUCAGCUGGUAGACCUACUACCAACAGGUUCACAGAUGCACUGACAUAUGGGAGUUGAGCCCCUGUGAUGUGAUGAUCCUGGCCUCCAAAGGGGUUGGCGAGAAAGUAUUUAAUAAACAAAAGAGAUCGACUUGAGAGAUACAAAGAGUAAGGGCACUGAGGGUUCAGAGGACGCAGACAGAACUCCAACCAGCAACAUCAGGGUGG